This 22-nucleotide microRNA is filed under the name Patiria miniata (bat star). RNAcentral's name for it is "Pmi-Mir-242_3p* (star (passenger))". The record is from RNAcentral. Lineage: Eukaryota; Metazoa; Echinodermata; Asteroidea; Valvatida; Asterinidae.
UGUGCAUCUCACCCGCGCAAAG